Nerophis ophidion (straightnose pipefish) is the source of this 499-nucleotide long non-coding RNA. RefSeq lists it as uncharacterized. The transcript has 3 exons. Lineage: Eukaryota; Metazoa; Chordata; Actinopteri; Syngnathiformes; Syngnathidae. The record is from RefSeq and is a predicted model, not a curated record.
GCUGCUUCCAGGAAGAGCGAGAGGGACGUUGCUGCAGGAGCCAACUACUGAAGCCGUGGGUCGUCGUGCGAGAGUGUUUAAGUGGGAUUUAUCUGCGGAAUUGGACAUGUUGGAUGGCGAGCUAGAGUCUGAAGCUUUAUGCCUGGAACCGAACCAACCGAACUGAAUCCACCCAACCGAGCCGGGCGGGUAGGAGGCUCCUCAGCAGCCGCCCUGUUUUUUCCCUUUGGUUUUUCAUGACGCAACAAGUUCAUUUCUGUCCUCCCUGAACUUUCAAAUUUACCCGUUACCUUCACUGGACACUGCCACCACAACGUGGACUUUGCGAGGUCGUUUAAUGAACUGUGUUGCGCCUAUACCAUUCUUGGUAAAAACAAGGACUGAAUCAAGUACAUUGUAAAUAUUGAACGUUCUGUAAUUUAUGUUGAAAAUGUGAAUGGCCAUUCGAAUUUACAUGUCUUUUUGUUGUUUAUUUUUCCUAUAAUUCUUUAAUAUAAUU